Caerostris darwini is the source of this 96-nucleotide non-coding RNA. Lineage: Eukaryota; Metazoa; Arthropoda; Arachnida; Araneae; Araneidae. The record is from the annotation of a GenBank genome assembly.
UAUCGCCGGAUCAACCGUAGAAAGACCGAAGUCAAGCAUCAUUGGGCGCGUUUCAGUACUUGGGUGGGUGACCACCUGGGAACACUGCGUGCCGUU